GUGCUUGCCUUCGGCAUCACACUAUAGUAAAAUUGGAACAAACAGAGAAGAUGAACAUGGCUUCUGCUCAAGGAU
RNAcentral lists this small nuclear RNA (75 nucleotides) under Rhinopithecus bieti (black snub-nosed monkey). The record is from RNAcentral. Lineage: Eukaryota; Metazoa; Chordata; Mammalia; Primates; Cercopithecidae.